Molecule: non-coding RNA, 72 nt
Organism: Pangasianodon gigas (Mekong giant catfish)
Lineage: Eukaryota; Metazoa; Chordata; Actinopteri; Siluriformes; Pangasiidae
Source: the annotation of a GenBank genome assembly
UCCCUGGACGACUAGUGGUUAGGCCACAGCGCUCCCACCGACGCGGCCUGGGUUUGAUUCCCAGCCAGAGAA